This 84-nucleotide transfer RNA is filed under the name Gordonia phage Lozinak. RNAcentral describes it as "tRNA-Ser". RNAcentral also lists the same sequence under 3 other names. Lineage: Duplodnaviria; Heunggongvirae; Uroviricota; Caudoviricetes. The record is from RNAcentral.
GGCGAGUUAUCCAGUCUGGGACUGGGCCCCGUUGCUAGCGGACGCGCAUCCCUGGGUGUGAGGUUCGAUUCCUCAGCUCGCCGC